UCUCCUUCUUUGGUAUCUAGUCGUUUAUACAUAUCGUCGUAGGCCGCUAACUUAGCUUCUCUGACAGCUUUUUUUCGCCUCUUGCUUCGCUUUUCUAUACUUUUCACCAUUUUCAUCGGUCCUCUCCUUGUAUAAGGCUUUACAACAUUCCUUCUUAGCCUUCACCUUUGUUUGUACCUCCUCAUUCCACCACCAAGAUUCCUUUUGGUGUGGGGCAAAGCCCUUGGACUCUCCUAAUACCUCUUUUGCUACUUUUCGGAUACAACUAG
RNAcentral lists this long non-coding RNA (269 nucleotides) under Malus domestica (apple). RNAcentral describes it as "long non-coding RNA (MDOM_LNC018374)". Lineage: Eukaryota; Viridiplantae; Streptophyta; Magnoliopsida; Rosales; Rosaceae. The record is from RNAcentral.